Molecule: long non-coding RNA, 3048 nt
Filed under: Taeniopygia guttata (zebra finch)
Lineage: Eukaryota; Metazoa; Chordata; Aves; Passeriformes; Estrildidae
Description: lncRNA (ENSTGUG00000021732.1)
Source: RNAcentral
UUUUUUUUUUUUUUUUUUUUUUUUUUUUUUUUUUUUUUUCCCUCCAGGACAAGUUAAAUUGCAGCUGAAGGAGAGAGAGACUUCCAAUCCUGUUAUACUGAGUCUGGCAGUGGCUUCAAUUAACUCUGGAUGUGGCUGCAGGACCUGAAAAUUCCCAGCUCUCUGGCCCCACACUUCCUUUCAGGCUUUGCCAAACUGCUGCAAACAAGUUUAUUAUCUUUUGCCCUGAUGUUUUAUAUAUCAGUUAGGGCAGGAAUUCUGUGUGUGAAUCUUAAAAAAAAAAAAAAAUAGAGAAGAGAAGAGAAGAGAAGAGAAGAGAAGAGAAGAGAAGAGAAGAGAAGAGAAGAGAAGAGAAGAGAAGAAAAGAAAAGAAAAGAAAAGAAAAGAAAAGAAAAGAAAAGAAAAGAAAAGAAAAGAAAAGAAAAGAAAAGAAAAGAAAAGAAAAGAAAAGAAAAGAAAAGAAAAGAAAAGAAAAGAAAAGAAAAGAAAAGAAUUACAAGAAAAACUGAAACCCAUACGCUCACAGGUGUAGGUAGGCUUAGGUAACAAGGAUUAUAUUGCAAAAUCUAAUAUGAAGAUGGGUUAUACCUAGCCCUUGCCAAAAUUAAAGAAAAAGAAAUCUGAUCAGCAUGGUAGGCAACUGAGUUUGACCCAAAGACUUAUGGAAUAAAGUGUCAUUUUCAUCCCUCUUCUGCAGUCUCAAAGAGGUAAUAAAUAGUGCAAUAGAAAAGAAGUGGCAGUGGAAUGACUAAUUUUAAAACUUUUUUAUAUUAGUCUCUUUUCAAAAGGAAUAAAAUAAGAAACUGAAUGUAAACAGUUAUUUUUUGUAUAUAAAAACAUAUAAAAUGAGCUAUAAGAUUUAUGCUUUUAUGUUUAUGUGUUUAUACUUCUUUGAUGACAGCAAAAAAAACAUGAGAGUGAAGAAGCGGCCUUCAUUUUUUUUCUACUAUGCAUUUCACAUGCAUCUUUUUUUUUCCUAAGGUAUCCUGGUGUAAGAAAUCCCUUGCAAUAUACACGAUGCAGGGAUUUACUGUGAUACAGUUUUACCAAAUAACAGACUAUUUAGGAGACUGUAUGCGCAGUAAAUGGAACCUAAGUAUUGUAUUAUGUAGUAGAAGUUAAAAAUAAGACCGUCUGUCUCCUUCUGGCUGUGGUGUUUGCCUUCCCAGCCGAAUUCCUGGCUAACUUUGUGCCUGCCCCACAGCGCUCAGGGAGCAGUGGCUGUCUGGAGUGACUGUGCUGUGCUGGCUCCCUCUUCCCUGGCACCUGGCACGGCCACCAAGGACCGGGGCUUAGAAGGGUUUGCCUAACGUCUUGGGACCAGUGACUUAAAAGAAUUUGACUUUAAUGUACAUAUCUCACUCAGGGCCUGGAUUUUCAGAAGAGCUUUGCUACUGGAUUCUGGGCUGCUUGGAAAUGCAGGUGUUUCCUUUUUAGGUGCCUACACUGGAGUAGACAGAGGCAGGCAUAUGGAGAGCUGCAGUCCAUGAAGUGAUCUCUGCCCCGAGGGAACACUUCCAAAACAGCAGUCCCAGCCAGGAUGGUAUCCACACAAGAAUGGUGCUGUGCGUCCUGCUGGCUGAGCCUCCUUUGGGCACUGCUCAGAAAUGCUGUCAGAAUGAAGCAGAGCACUCAAAAUACAUUUAGGGUGGAAGAUCCACCCUGAGUGAAGGCCACAGGGCUUUUGCUGCUAAUUGAAGGAAGGUGAGGCUUCUUCUGAUGAAGAGUCAACACUCAUUACUGAAAGCUUUGAAUAAAUCUUUGAAUGAGUUGUAUUAUGUCUGCAGCUACAAGUUCAUUCAUCUGUCUACAUACCUUACUCCUGUUCGUAUGGAAAAUGAUGAAAAAGUGUGUUCGUAAGAACUCUCGUAGGCUGUACAAUGCUGUGCUGAAAAUUUUAUUACAUUGAUUCAAAUACUUUCUGCAGUUUAUGUAAAGUAAUCUUUCUGUAUCUCACGGAAUUUGCAUCCUGGGAGUGAUUGAUACUCUGAGUGAGAUGAAGCCGACUUCCAUUCCCUACCACACAGCAAAGUUUCUUGGAGAAGAAUGCACUCAGAGAGCAUAAACUGUUAUUGCUGGUUAUUCAACCACAACCACUGGAUCCCCUGUCUUCGCUUUGCCACCAAAAAAGUAUUUGUGGUUGGCCAGGUGUUCAUCCCUUUGAAUGCAUCUCACCUGCUUUCCAUACUACAUUUCCACUGUUUCCUUCCUGCAGGAAAUGUGAUUUCCAACAGCAAUGGCUCACUAGGCAUCUCUUCUCCAUAGUCACUGUGUUAUUAUCUGAUGGUGUGCACAUCUUACUUUAAAUUUCACCUUCUUCAGAAGGAAUCUACCAGUGUCUGACUGCCCAUUUGUCCUGAUGACAGGGAAAUUUGGCACAGCUCUCCAAAAUAAUCUUUGCAGCACAGAAGCCUGAAGCGUGGAAGUGAUUGUGGGUCUGCCCCCGGACCAGGACAGGAGCCUGUGAAGCUCCUUGAGCGAGCACAAUCUGCAAGGCCAGCCCAGGAGGCACUGCCGUGCCCCUGAGGUUUGGCCAGUUUCCCUUCAGCUGAAGAGACACUGACUUGAGAAACCCCAGAAUAUUUGCCAUGGCAUCCACGGCCAGGCUCUGAGUAAGGAGCAGGCUUUUUUCUUACUUCAGAGUUGGCACCUGUGGUUCAUAUAGCUGAGCAGUGAUCAUGAGCCAAAGUGUAUUUUUGUCAAAUAAUAAGCCUUUAUGCCAUACCUGUUUUCAUUUGGAAACACUGUGGAUAAUCUGAGUGAAGCUUAUUUGCCACAAUACCACUACACACCAGGACCUUAAAACAACAAAUGCUAAAUUUGCCCCCUCUUUAAGAUUUUUGCUUAUUGCCAGAGGGUGUUAAAGUCCCUUCUGUGGAAAGGAGUAGGGAUUAUUCAUUCCAAAGGUAGUUUUACUUAAAACCUGCAGGAAGGAUAUUUUUAUGUGUUUUCCCAGAUUCUUGUUUGCAACAUGCUCAGAAAUUCCAGUAUAAAUACAAAAUAUGCAGCCUUCUCUUUGUUUUCCAAGUAGACAACAUGGGGUUGCCC